RNAcentral lists this ribosomal RNA (492 nucleotides) under uncultured bacterium. RNAcentral describes it as "partial 16S ribosomal RNA". It matches the Rfam family "Bacterial small subunit ribosomal RNA", at positions 29 to 507 of the family's 1533-position model. The record is from RNAcentral.
AGUGAACGCUGGCGGUAGGCCUAACACAUGCAAGUCGAACGGCAGCACAGUAAGAGCUUGCUCUUACGGGUGGCGAGUGGCGGACGGGUGAGGAAUACAUCGGAAUCUACUUUUUCGUGGGGGAUAACGUAGGGAAACUUACGCUAAUACCGCAUACGACCUACGGGUGAAAGCAGGGGAUCUUCGGACCUUGCGCGAUUGAAUUAGCCGAUGUCGGAUUAGCUAGUUGGCGGGGUAAAGGCCCACCAAGGCGACGAUCCGUAGCUGGUCUGAGAGGAUGAUCAGCCACACUGGAACUGAGACACGGUCCAGACUCCUACGGGAGGCAGCAGUGGGGAAUAUUGGACAAUGGGCGCAAGCCUGAUCCAGCCAUACCGCGUGGGUGAUGAAGGCCUUCGGGUUGUAAAGCCCUUUUGUUGGGAAAGAAAAACAGCAUGUUAAAACCCCGCUGUUCUGACGGUACCCAAAGAAUAAGCACCGGCUAACUUCGUG